RNAcentral lists this ribosomal RNA (412 nucleotides) under uncultured Rhizophagus. Its description in RNAcentral is "partial 28S ribosomal RNA". The record is from RNAcentral. Lineage: Eukaryota; Fungi; Glomeromycota; Glomeromycetes; Glomerales; Glomeraceae.
GAGAGUUAAACAGUACGUGAAAUUGUUGAAAGGGAAACGAUUGAAGCCAGUCGUACCUUCGGGUAAUCAGCCUUUCGGGUGCGAUUCUGUGGAGUUUGAGGAGCUUAACACCUUCAUGCUUUGCAUAUUCGUGCUCUUGGGUGUACUUGCUCGUAUGGUUGGUUAACAUCAAUUUUGGUGGUCAUAAAAUAACUGGAGGAAUGUAGCUUCGAUCUCGUAUUGAAGUGUUAUAGCCUUCGGUAGAUGUGAUGACUGAGAUUGAGGAUUGCAACGGAUACCCUUCGGGGCUACCUGUCUGAUCUCUGAUCGUUGCUCUGGUGCCGAAAGCUUGCUUACGGUUGUCAAAGUCGAUGGUCAAUAGGUUAGAAUGGGUUAAAUUCGUUAAGGAUGUUGACGUAAUGGCUUUAAACGA